Long non-coding RNA from Sinocyclocheilus anshuiensis, 592 nucleotides. RefSeq lists it as uncharacterized. The record is from RefSeq and is a predicted model, not a curated record. NCBI's taxonomy places the organism in Eukaryota, Metazoa, Chordata, Actinopteri, Cypriniformes, Cyprinidae. The transcript has 4 exons.
UCUGUCUCUCUUCUGAUAUCAAUGCCUCACACUCUAUUCCAGUAGGUGGCGGAAUAUGCACCAAAGCUGGUUUGCCAACCGCAAUUAAACGUCAAAGUAGAAGGAGACAUUAAACCCACAGAAGAAGAAAAAAGAAGAAGAAGCUCACGAUUAGUUCCUCCCACAACAAUUGCAGAACCCUGCAGAAUGAAACACACUGAAGAUACUGAAGAACAAACAGAGCUGAUGGAAAAGAACGAGGAGAGUAAAGAACUGAGUGAAGUGGAGGAGGAACAUCAUGACAAAAUGAUACCUGAUGGAUGUGAACAAGGAAAAACGGAAGAAGAAGAAAAUUGUGAGCUGCCCUCAGUGUAAAAAGAGGCGAAGAAACACCUGAGGAUUAACAAAGGAGAAGACUCAUUCAUUAUAUUACAGCAGAAAAGACACGGCGGUGUGUGUUUAAGCGCAGAAAGUCCUUUACUACAGAAGAUGAACUGAAAGAGCACCAGAAAAUUCACACUGGAAACCUUUCAAGGCAUAGUUCAGGGGGCUGAAGAAGAGGCAAUGACACUUUUAAGAGAGACAUGAAUCUGAUAUACAUUUUUAACUUGUU